UACGGGGGGAGCAAGCGUUGUUCGGAUUUACUGGGCGUAAAGGGCGCGUAGGCGGCUCUACAAGUCACUUGUGAAAUCUCCGGGCUUAACUCGGAACGGUCAAGUGAUACUGUCGAGCUAGAGUACAGAAGGGGCAACUGGAAUUCUCGGUGUAGCGGUGAAAUGCGUAGAUAUCGAGAGGAACACCUGCGGCGAAGGCGGGUUGCUGGGCUGAUACUGACGCUGAGGCGCGAAAGCCAGGGGAGCGAACGGG
RNAcentral lists this ribosomal RNA (253 nucleotides) under uncultured bacterium. RNAcentral describes it as "partial 16S ribosomal RNA". It matches the Rfam family "Bacterial small subunit ribosomal RNA", at positions 524 to 776 of the family's 1533-position model. The record is from RNAcentral.